GACCGAAUGGCGUAGUGGUUAGUGACCCUGACCUGACUACUGAGCGGAUGGUCCCGGGUUCGAUUCCCGGCUGGGGCA
This 78-nucleotide transfer RNA is filed under the name Plutella xylostella (diamondback moth). Its description in RNAcentral is "tRNA-Ser". Lineage: Eukaryota; Metazoa; Arthropoda; Insecta; Lepidoptera; Plutellidae. The record is from RNAcentral.